RNAcentral lists this non-coding RNA (26 nucleotides) under Cricetulus griseus (Chinese hamster). The record is from RNAcentral. Lineage: Eukaryota; Metazoa; Chordata; Mammalia; Rodentia; Cricetidae.
AGGACGACAAGCCUUGAAUGGAUUCC